GCAGCAUCGCCGCCUUUUUGGCUAAGAUCAAGUGUAGUAUCUGUUCUUAUCAGUUUAAUAUCUGAUACCGCCCUACCCGGGACUACAUAUUAAAUUGAUUUUUGAUCACGGAGCUGGAGCCGGGCUUGCUCUGUCCACCUCUUCUAAUGAGCUGAUGAUCUGAAUCAGGUGCGUGUUUGACAGCAA
Molecule: small nuclear RNA, 186 nt
Organism: Cyprinus carpio (common carp)
Lineage: Eukaryota; Metazoa; Chordata; Actinopteri; Cypriniformes; Cyprinidae
Product: U2 spliceosomal RNA
Exons: 1
Source: RefSeq, a predicted model, not a curated record